CAAAAUGGUGAAACAGAUCGACAGCAAGGAAGUGUUUCAGGAAGCCUUGGAGGCUGCAGGAGAUAAACUUGUGGUAGUUGACUUCUCGGCCAACUGGUGCGGCCCUUGCAAAAUGAUCAAGCCUUUCCUUCAUUCUCUCUCUGAAAAAUAUUCCAAUGCAUUGUUCCUGGAAGUAGAUGUGGAUGCCUGUCAGGAUGUUGCUGUGGAGUGUGAAGUCAAAUGCAUGCCCACCUUCCAGUUUUUUAAAAAAGGCCAAAAGGUGGGUGAAUUUUCUGGGACUAACAAAGAAAAGCUUAAAGCCACCAUUAAUGAAUUUCUCUAAUMGUGUUUUCUGAAAAACAUAACCACCCAUCAGCUG
Non-coding RNA from Urocitellus parryii (Arctic ground squirrel), 358 nucleotides. Lineage: Eukaryota; Metazoa; Chordata; Mammalia; Rodentia; Sciuridae. The record is from RefSeq and is a predicted model, not a curated record.